UACGGAAGGUCCGGGCGUUAUCCGGAUUUAUUGGGUUUAAAGGGAGCGUAGGCCGGAGAUUAAGCGUGUUGUGAAAUGUAGAUGCUCAACAUCUGAACUGCAGCGCGAACUGGUUUCCUUGAGUACGCACAAAGUGGGCGGAAUUCGUGGUGUAGCGGUGAAAUGCUUAGAUAUCACGAAGAACUCCGAUUGUGAAGGCAGCUCACUGGAGCGCAACUGACGCUGAAGCUCGAAAGUGCGGGUAUCGAACAGG
RNAcentral lists this ribosomal RNA (253 nucleotides) under Segatella copri DSM 18205. RNAcentral's name for it is "Prevotella copri DSM 18205 partial 16S ribosomal RNA". It matches the Rfam family "Bacterial small subunit ribosomal RNA", at positions 524 to 776 of the family's 1533-position model. Lineage: Bacteria; Pseudomonadati; Bacteroidota; Bacteroidia; Bacteroidales; Prevotellaceae. The record is from RNAcentral.